CAGUCGCCGCGGUAAUACGUAGGGUGCGAGCGUUAAUCGGAAUUACUGGGCGUAAAGCGUGCGCAGGCGGUUCGUUAAGACAGAUGUGAAAUCCCCGGGCUUAACCUGGGAACUGCAUUUGUGACUGGCAAGCUAGAGUAUGGCAGAGGGGGGUGGAAUUCCGCGUGUAGCAGUGAAAUGCGUAGAUAUGCGGAGGAACACCGAUGGCGGAGGCAGCCCCCUGGGCCAAUACUGACGCUCAUGCACGAAAGCGUGGGGAGCAAACAGGAUUAGAGACCCGAGUAGUCCCUGUCUCUUAUAC
Molecule: ribosomal RNA, 301 nt
Filed under: uncultured bacterium
Lineage: Bacteria
Description: partial 16S ribosomal RNA
Rfam family: Bacterial small subunit ribosomal RNA
Source: RNAcentral